GCGUGAGGGAUGACGGCCUUCGGGUUGUUUUCCUCAAACAGUAGGGAAGAAGCGAAAGUGACGGUACCUGCAGAAGAAGCACCGGCUAACUACGUGCCAGCAGCCGCGGUAAUACGUAGGGUGCGAGCGUUAUCCGGAAUUAUUGGGCGUAAAGUCGACGUAGGCGGUUUGUCGCGUCUGUCGUGAAAGUCCGGGGCUUAACCCGGGAUCUGCGGUGGGUACGGGCAGACUAGAGUGCAGUAGGGGAGACUGGAAUUCCUGGGUUAGCGGUGGAAUGCGCAGAUAGACUGAGGAACACCGAUGGCGAAGGCAGGUCUCUGGGCUGUAACUGACGCUGAGGAGCGAAAGCAUGGGGAGCGAACAGGAUUAGAUACCCUGGUAGUCCAUGCCGUAAACGUUGGGCACUAGGUGUGGGGACCUAUCCACGGUUUCCGCGCCGCAGCUAACGCAUUAAGUGCCCCGCCUGGGGAGUACGGCCGCAAGGCUAAAACUCAAAGGAAUUGACGGGGGCCCGCACAAGCGGCGGAGCAUGCGGAUUAAUUCGAUGCAACGCGAAGAACCAUUCCAAGGUUCGACAUGUUCUCGAUCGCCGUAGAGAUACGGUUUCCCCUUUGGGGCGGGUUCACAGGUGGUGCAUGGUUGUCGUCAGCUCGUGUCGUGAGAUGUUGGGUUAAGUCCCGCAACGAGCGCAACCCUCGUUCCAUGUUGCCAGCACGUCGUGGUGGGGACUGUACGGAGACUGCCGGGGUCAACUCGGAGGAA
RNAcentral lists this ribosomal RNA (762 nucleotides) under Micrococcus luteus. RNAcentral's name for it is "bacterial SSU rRNA". It matches the Rfam family "Bacterial small subunit ribosomal RNA", at positions 399 to 1171 of the family's 1533-position model. Lineage: Bacteria; Bacillati; Actinomycetota; Actinomycetes; Micrococcales; Micrococcaceae. The record is from RNAcentral.